This 430-nucleotide ribosomal RNA is filed under the name uncultured bacterium. RNAcentral describes it as "partial 16S ribosomal RNA". It matches the Rfam family "Bacterial small subunit ribosomal RNA", at positions 354 to 796 of the family's 1533-position model. The record is from RNAcentral.
GUGGGGAAUAUUGCACAAUGGGCGAAAGCCUGAUGCAGCAACGCCGCGUGAGGGACGACGGCCUUCGGGUUGUAAACCUCUUUUAGUAGGGAAGAAGCGAAAGUGACGGUACCUGCAGAAAAAGCACCGGCUAACUACGUGCCAGCAGCCGCGGUAAUACGUAGGGUGCAAGCGUUAUCCGGAAUUAUUGGGCGUAAAGAGCUCGUAGGCGGUCUGUCGCGUCUGCUGUGAAAACUGGAGGCUCAACCUCCAGCCUGCAGUGGGUACGGGCAGACUAGAGUGCGGUAGGGGAGAUUGGAAUUCCUGGUGUAGCGGUGGAAUGCGCAGAUAUCAGGAGGAACACCAAUGGCGAAGGCAGAUCUCUGGGCCGUAACUGACGCUGAGGAGCGAAAGCGUGGGGAGCGAACAGGAUUAGAAACCCGAGUAGUCC